AUUGAACGCUGGCGGCAGGCUUAACACAUGCAAGUCGAGCGGAGAGAGGUAGCUUGCUACUGAUCUUAGCGGCGGACGGGUGAGUAAUGCUUAGGAAUCUGCCUAUUAGUGGGGGACAACAUUUCGAAAGGAAUGCUAAUACCGCAUACGUCCUACGGGAGAAAGCAGGGGAUCUUCGGACCUUGCGCUAAUAGAUGAGCCUAAGUCGGAUUAGCUAGUUGGUGGGGUAAAGGCCUACCAAGGCGACGAUCUGUAGCGGGUCUGAGAGGAUGAUCCGCCACACUGGGACUGAGACACGGCCCAGACUCCUGCGGGAGGCAGCAGUGGGGAAUAUUGGACAAUGGGCGGAGGCCUGAUCCAGCCAUGCCGCGUGUGUGAAGAAGGCCUUAUGGUUGUAAAGCACUUUAAGCGAGGAGGAGGCUACUUUAGUUAAUACCUAGAGAUAGUGGACGUUACUCGCAGAAUAAGCACCGGCUAACUCUGUGCCAGCCGCCGCCGUAA
Molecule: ribosomal RNA, 501 nt
Filed under: uncultured bacterium
Lineage: Bacteria
Description: partial 16S ribosomal RNA
Rfam family: Bacterial small subunit ribosomal RNA
Source: RNAcentral